RNAcentral lists this ribosomal RNA (549 nucleotides) under Kocuria sp. Its description in RNAcentral is "bacterial SSU rRNA". It matches the Rfam family "Bacterial small subunit ribosomal RNA", at positions 242 to 803 of the family's 1533-position model. Lineage: Bacteria; Bacillati; Actinomycetota; Actinomycetes; Micrococcales; Micrococcaceae. The record is from RNAcentral.
CAGCUUGUUGGUGGGGUAAUGGCCUACCAAGGCGACGACGGGUAGCCGGCCUGAGAGGGUGACCGGCCACACUGGGACUGAGACACGGCCCAGACUCCUACGGGAGGCAGCAGUGGGGAAUAUUGCACAAUGGGCGCAAGCCUGAUGCAGCGACGCCGCGUGAGGGAUGACGGCCUUCGGGUUGUAAACCUCUUUCAGCACGGAAGAAGCGAAAGUGACGGUACGUGCAGAAGAAGCGCCGGCUAACUACGUGCCAGCAGCCGCGGUAAUACGUAGGGCGCAAGCGUUGUCCGGAAUUAUUGGGCGUAAAGAGCUCGUAGGCGGUUUGUCGCGUCUGCUGUGAAAGCCCGGGGCUUAACCCCGGGUGUGCAGUGGGUACGGGCAGACUUGAGUGCAGUAGGGGAGACUGGAACUCCUGGUGUAGCGGUGAAAUGCGCAGAUAUCAGGAAGAACACCGAUGGCGAAGGCAGGUCUCUGGGCUGUUACUGACGCUGAGGAGCGAAAGCAUGGGGAGCGAACAGGAUUAGAUACCCUGGUAGUCCAUGCCGU